Molecule: ribosomal RNA, 253 nt
Filed under: uncultured bacterium
Lineage: Bacteria
Description: partial 16S ribosomal RNA
Rfam family: Bacterial small subunit ribosomal RNA
Source: RNAcentral
UACAGAGGGUGCGAGCGUUAAUCGGAAUUACUGGGCGUAAAGCGUGCGUAGACGGUUAUUUAAGUCGGAUGUGAAAGCCCCGGGCUCAACCUGGGAAUUGCAUUCGAGACUGAAUAGCUAGGGUGCGGUAGAGGGAAGCGGAAUUUCCGGUGUAGAGGUGAAAUUCGUAGAUAUUAGGAAGAACACCAGUGGCGAAGGCGGCUCACUGGUCCGGUACUGACGCUGAGGUGCGAAAGCGUGGGGAGCAAACAGG